GUGCCAGCCGCCGCGGUAAUACGGAGGGUGCAAACGUUGCUCGGAAUUAUUGGGCGUAAAGCGUACGUAGGCGGUCCAGCAAGUCGGGUGUGAAAGCCCUCGGCUUAACCGAGGAAGUGCAUUCGAAACUACAGGACUUGAAUACUGGAGAGGAUUGCGGAAUUCCCGGUGUAGAGGUGAAAUUCGUAGAUAUCGGGAGGAACACCAGUGGCGAAGGCGGCAAUCUGGACAGAUAUUGACGCUGAUGUACGAAAGCGUGGGGAGCAAACAGGAUUAGAUACCCGCGUAGUCC
Molecule: ribosomal RNA, 292 nt
Filed under: uncultured bacterium
Lineage: Bacteria
Description: partial 16S ribosomal RNA
Rfam family: Bacterial small subunit ribosomal RNA
Source: RNAcentral